UCCCUUUCGGUGUACGGCACAGGAAUUUUUGAUGUUCCAGGAGGAGACGAUCUAGAGGGAU
This 61-nucleotide transfer RNA is filed under the name Bulla sp. TLT-2006. RNAcentral describes it as "tRNA-Gln". The record is from RNAcentral. Lineage: Eukaryota; Metazoa; Mollusca; Gastropoda; Cephalaspidea; Bullidae.